AUGUGUUCUUUCUGUGGGGAGAAUGAAACCUCCCAGCAUCUCUUUUUUACCUGUCCUGUAGCUAAAGUGACCUGGAGAAGCGUUGCUUGCAUGCUCGGCACUGAUCUGUGCCCGAACAGCUUAUGGCGGGCUUAUUCCUGGUGUUAUGUUUACUUUCCGAAUGGGGAGAUUUUCUACACUGUCGGCAUAGCUGCGCUUUGCUGGGCUAUUUGGACAUGUCGCAAUGGUGCUACAUUCGAAAAUAAACGUUUGAAAACACCUUUUGAAUGAUGCUUCUCUAUGUGUACUUUUCUUGGUUAUUAGGCAGGACUGUUGAAGCAAGAGGAUGCGGUUGACCUGCGAGCAGGAGUGGACAUGCUGAAGAACAGUGCGUCAAGGCUGAUGCGCAUCUGCGCUGCGAACAAGGACUGA
RNAcentral lists this ribosomal RNA (411 nucleotides) under Triticum aestivum (bread wheat). Its description in RNAcentral is "partial small subunit ribosomal RNA". Lineage: Eukaryota; Viridiplantae; Streptophyta; Magnoliopsida; Poales; Poaceae. The record is from RNAcentral.